GCGUGCUUAACACAUGCAAGUCGAACGGAAAGGCCCUGCUUUUGUGGGGUGCUCGAGUGGCGAACGGGUGAGUAACACGUGAGUAACCUGCCCUUGACUUUGGGAUAACUUCAGGAAACUGGGGCUAAUACCGGAUAGGAGCUCCUGCUGCAUGGUGGGGGUUGGAAAGUUUCGGCGGUUGGGGAUGGACUCGCGGCUUAUCAGCUUGUUGGUGGGGUAGUGGCUUACCAAGGCUUUGACGGGUAGCCGGCCUGAGAGGGUGACCGGCCACAUUGGGACUGAGAUACGGCCCAGACUCCUACGGGAGGCAGCAGUGGGGAAUAUUGCACAAUGGGCGGAAGCCUGAUGCAGCAACGCCGCGUGCGGGAUGACGGCCUUCGGGUUGUAAACCGCUUUCGCCUGUGACGAAGCGUGAGUGACGGUAAUGGGUAAAGAAGCACCGGCUAACUACGUGCCAGCAGCCGCGGUGAUACGUAGGGUGCGAGCGUUGUCCGGAUUUAUUGGGCGUAAAGGGCUCGUAGGUGGUUGAUCGCGUCGGAAGUGUAAUCUUGGGGCUUAACCCUGAGCGUGCUUUCGAUACGGGUUGACUUGAGGAAGGUAGGGGAGAAUGGAAUUCCUGGUGGAGCGGUGGAAUGCGCAGAUAUCAGGAGGAACACCAGUGGCGAAGGCGGUUCUCUGGGCCUUUCCUGACGCUGAGGAGUGAAAGCGUGGGGAGCGAACAGGCUUAGAUACCCUGGUAGUCCACGCUGUAAACGGUGGGUACUAGGUGUGGGGUCCAUUCCACGGGUUCCGUGCCGUAGCUAACGCUUUAAGUACCCCGCCUGGGGAGUACGGCCGCAAGGCUAAAACUCAAAGGAAUUGACGGGGCCCCGCACAAGCGGCGGAGCAUGCGGAUUAAUUCGAUGCAACGCGUAGAACCUUACCUGGGUUUGACAUGGAUCGGGAGUGCUCAGAGAUGGGUGUGCCUCUUUUGGGGUCGGUUCACAGGUGGUGCAUGGCUGUCGUCAGCUCGUGUCGUGAGAUGUUGGGUUAAGUCCCGCAACGAGCGCAACCCUUGUUCACUGUUGCCAGCACGUUAUGGUGGGGACUCAGUGGAGACCGCCGGGGUCAACUCGGAGGAAGGUGGGGAUGACGUCAAGUCAUCAUGCCCCUUAUGUCCAGGGCUUCACGCAUGCUACAAUGGCUGGUACAGAGAGUGGCGAGCCUGUGAGGGUGAGCGAAUCUCGGAAAGCCGGUCUCAGUUCGGAUUGGGGUCUGCAACUCGACCUCAUGAAGUCGGAGUCGCUAGUAAUCGCAGAUCAGCAACGCUGCGGUGAAUACGUUCCCGGGGCUUGUACACACCGCCCGUCAAGUCAUGAAAGUUGGUAACACCCGAAGCCGGUGGCCUAACCGUUGUGGGGGAGCCGUCGAAGGUGGGACUGGUGAUUAGGACUAAGU
Molecule: ribosomal RNA, 1437 nt
Filed under: uncultured organism
Description: 16S ribosomal RNA
Rfam family: Bacterial small subunit ribosomal RNA
Source: RNAcentral